UCACCAUCAUUAUUAUAAUUAACAGCAAGACUAGUUUGUCUGGGUUGGAGAGUGCCAAAAGGGGAGUCAUGUAAUUAGCUUGAAAAGUUUUGUCAUCUUAGGGAUCUUCAUGUGGAACCAUGGAUUUAGGUCCCUUUCCCUACCAGUACUCUCAAAUGAAGAUCAAGUCUAAAGGCGAGGGGCACCCUGAACCGUGCACUGGAUCCGCUCUAAGCCUGUUGUUCAGGCAUGUCUGACUCUUCUUGACCCCAUGGACAAGAUUCUUCUAUUUUCCACUCUCUCUUCAAGUAUGUCCAAGCUCAUGUUCACUGUUUCCAUGACACUAUCUAUCCAUCUCAUCCUCUGUCAUCGCCUUUUCCUUUUGCCUUCAAUCUUUCCCAACAUCGGGGUCUUUCCCAAUGA
This is a long non-coding RNA of Monodelphis domestica (gray short-tailed opossum), 402 nucleotides long. RefSeq lists it as uncharacterized. The record is from RefSeq and is a predicted model, not a curated record. Lineage: Eukaryota; Metazoa; Chordata; Mammalia; Didelphimorphia; Didelphidae.